AAGGAUCAUUAACAAAUGAAAUUCCAUCAAGUGUUGGUUCUGGUGCAUUUUUGUUCAUGAUUGCGUGAGCAAUCACGAGGAAAAAGCAAUCACGAGCCGCAAAACACAACAACAACAACAUUAAACACAGACAGACACAUACAUGGACACAGACAGACAAUUAAUGAGAUAACUUUUAACAAUGGAUCUCUCGGCUCUG
This 199-nucleotide unclassified non-coding RNA is filed under the name uncultured fungus. Its description in RNAcentral is "partial contains 18S rRNA, ITS1, 5.8S rRNA, ITS2 and 28S rRNA". Lineage: Eukaryota; Fungi. The record is from RNAcentral.